GACGAACGCUGGCGGCGUGCUUAACACAUGCAAGUCGAACGGAAAGACCCUGCUUUUGUGGGGUGCUCGAGUGGCGAACGGGUGAGUAACACGUGAGUAACCUGCCCUUGACUUUGGGAUAACUUCAGGAAACUGGGGCUAAUACCGGAUAUGAGCUCCUGCUGCAUGGGGGGGGUUGGAAAGUUUCGGCGGUUGGGGAUGGACUCGCGGCUUAUCAGCUUGUUGGUGGGGUAGUGGCUUACCAAGGCUUUGACGGGUAGCCGGCCUGAGAGGGUGACCGGCCACAUUGGGACUGAGAUACGGCCCAGACUCCUACGGGAGGCAGCAGUGGGGAAUAUUGCACAAUGGGCGGAAGCCUGAUGCAGCAACGCCGCGUGCGGGAUGACGGCCUUCGGGUUGUAAACCGCUUUCGCCUGUGACGAAGCGUGAGUGACGGUAAUGGGUAAAGAAGCACCGGCUAACUACGUG
Molecule: ribosomal RNA, 468 nt
Filed under: uncultured bacterium
Lineage: Bacteria
Description: partial 16S ribosomal RNA
Rfam family: Bacterial small subunit ribosomal RNA
Source: RNAcentral